UACAGAGGUCCCAAGCGUUGUUCGGAUUCACUGGGCGUAAAGGGUGCGUAGGCGGUCGGGUAAGUCUGACGUGAAAUCUCCGAGCUCAACUUGGAAAUGGCGUCGGAUACUAUUCGGCUGGAGGAAUGGAGGGGAGACUGGAAUUCUCGGUGUAGCAGUGAAAUGCGUAGAUAUCGGGAGGAACACCAGUGGCGAAGGCGACUUCCUGGCCUGUUCUUGACGCUGAGGCGCGAAAGCUAGGGUAGCAAACGGG
This 253-nucleotide ribosomal RNA is filed under the name uncultured bacterium. RNAcentral describes it as "partial 16S ribosomal RNA". It matches the Rfam family "Bacterial small subunit ribosomal RNA", at positions 524 to 776 of the family's 1533-position model. The record is from RNAcentral.